GAUGAACGCUGGCGGCGUGCCUAAUACAUGCAAGUCGAGCGAAUGGAUUGAGAGCUUGCUCUUAUGAAGUUAGCGGCGGACGGGUGAGUAACACGUGGGUAACCUGCCCAUAAGACUGGGAUAACACCGGGAAACCGGGGCUAAUACCGGAUAACAUUUUGAACCGCAUGGUUCGAAAUUGAAAGGCGGCUUCGGCUGUCACUUAUGGAUGGAACCGCGUCGCAUUAGCUAGUUGGUGAGGUAACGGCUCACCAAGGCAACGAUGCGUAGCCGACCUGAGAGGGUGAUCGGCCACACUGGGACUGAGACACGGCCCAGACUCCUACGGGAGGCAGCAGUAGGGAAUCUUCCGCAAUGGACGAAAGUCUGACGGAGCAACGCCGCGUGAGUGAUGAAGGCUUUCGGGUCGUAAAACUCUGUUGUUAGGGAAGAACAAGUGCUAGUUGAAUAAGCUGGCACCUUGACGGUACCUAACCAGAAAGCCACGGCUAACUACGUGCCAGCCGCCGCGGUAA
This 515-nucleotide ribosomal RNA is filed under the name uncultured bacterium. Its description in RNAcentral is "partial 16S ribosomal RNA". It matches the Rfam family "Bacterial small subunit ribosomal RNA", at positions 28 to 523 of the family's 1533-position model. The record is from RNAcentral.